RNAcentral lists this ribosomal RNA (433 nucleotides) under uncultured bacterium. RNAcentral describes it as "partial 16S ribosomal RNA". It matches the Rfam family "Bacterial small subunit ribosomal RNA", at positions 29 to 507 of the family's 1533-position model. The record is from RNAcentral.
AACGAACGCUGGCGGCAUGCCUAACACAUGCAAGUCGAACGAGACCUUCGGGUCUAGUGGCGCACGGGUGCGUAACGCGUGGGAACCUGCCCUUAGGUUCGGAAUAACUCCCCGAAAGGGGUGCUAAUACCGGAUAAUGUCUUCGGACCAAAGAUUUAUCGCCUUUGGAUGGGCCCGCGUUGGAUUAGCUAGUUGGUAGGGUAAAAGCCUACCAAGGCGACGAUCCAUAGCUGGUCUGAGAGGAUGAUCAGCCACACUGGGACUGAGACACGGCCCAGACUCCUACGGGAGGGAGCAGUGGGGAAUAUUGGACAAUGGGCGGAAGCAUGAUCCAGCAAUGACGCGUGAGUGAUGAAGGCCUUAGGGUUGUAAAGCUAUUUUACCCGGGAUGAUAAUGACAGUACCGGGAGAAUAAGCUCCGGCUAACUCCGUG